Molecule: ribosomal RNA, 586 nt
Filed under: uncultured archaeon
Lineage: Archaea
Description: bacterial SSU rRNA
Rfam family: Archaeal small subunit ribosomal RNA
Source: RNAcentral
GGUUACUGCUAUCGGUGUUCGCCUAAGCCAUGCGAGUCAUAUGUUCGUAAGAACAUGGCGUACUGCUCAGUAACACGUGGAUAACCUGCCCUUGGGUCCGGCAUAACCCCGGGAAACUGGGGAUAAUUCCGGAUAACGCACAUAUGCUGGAAUGCUUUAUGCGUAAAAUGGAUUCGUCUGCCCAAGGAUGGGUCUGCGGCCUAUCAGGUAGUAGUGGGUGUAAUGUACCUACUAGCCUACGACGGGUACGGGUUGUGAGAGCAAGAGCCCGGAGAUGGAUUCUGAGACAUGAAUCCAGGCCCUACGGGGCGCAGCAGGCGCGAAAACUUUACAAUGCGGGAAACCGUGAUAAGGGGACACCGAGGCCAGCAUCCUAUGCUGGCUGUCCGGGUGUGUAAAAUACACCUGUUAGCAAGGGCCGGGCAAGACCGGUGCCAGCCGCCGCGGUAACACCGGCGGCCCGAGUGGUGAUCGUGAUUAUUGGGUCUAAAGGGUCCGUAGCCGGUUUGGUCAGUCCUCCGGGAAAUCUGACAACUUAACUGUUAGGCUUUCGGAGGAUACUGCCAGACUUGGAACCGGGAGAGGA